Long non-coding RNA from Myotis brandtii (Brandt's bat), 145 nucleotides. RefSeq lists it as uncharacterized. The transcript has 2 exons. Lineage: Eukaryota; Metazoa; Chordata; Mammalia; Chiroptera; Vespertilionidae. The record is from RefSeq and is a predicted model, not a curated record.
UUGGUGUUCAUAGUUCCAUUUUCUUCUGAUUUGUCAAAGCUCCCGUGCUGAUCAGUAGUGGGAUCGCGCCUGUGAAUAGCCACUGCACUCCAGCCUGGGCAGCAUAGCGAGACCCCGUCUCUAAAAAAACAAAAAAACAAAAACA